AUAAUUUCCACCAAUAUGCAAUAUUGCAAGCCGUCGGUUAGUUCUAAAACCCUAGGCCGAUCCUUCAGACCAAUCUGUUCUUCCCUGCCGAAUUCCUUUAUCCUUUAAAUCUGAUAUCUAAGGCACAGAAAGAAAGAAGCUUGAUUCGCAAUGGCGCCGCUUAUAAACAGGUUCCCUUUUGUUGCUAAUCAUUUGAAGCGAAUGAUAACCAAGCUUAACGCAAACGAUGAAAAGCACGUUAUAAAAUCAUGGUCUCGUGCGUCUAUGAUUAUUCCUGAAAUGGUUGGCCAUCGUAUCGCUAUUCAUAAUGGUAAGAAACAUCGCCCGAUUCAGAUCAAGGAUGCUAUGGUAGGACACAAGUUGGGAGAGUUUGCACUUACACGAGCGCGUAAACCACAAAAGCAACAAAAUGUGAAGAAACCCGGCAAGAAGAAGUGAUCAGGUUUUAAGAUAACAACAGAUCAAGAUUUAUCGUUGUUAAGCUCUACUUUUGUCAGGUGAUCAUACUGAAACUUGUUACGUUGUGUGUUUUACAUUUUAGUUUAUCGAGUAUUUUGUGGAUGAUUGAGGAUGUUAGAAUUCUGGGAUUAUGCUUCAGAUUGACAGUUUAUUUCAUAAUCGUUCCAUUGAAAAUGAUGGUAUUUUUGAA
Molecule: long non-coding RNA, 649 nt
Organism: Helianthus annuus (common sunflower)
Lineage: Eukaryota; Viridiplantae; Streptophyta; Magnoliopsida; Asterales; Asteraceae
Exons: 2
Source: RefSeq, a predicted model, not a curated record